Molecule: long non-coding RNA, 902 nt
Filed under: Elaeis guineensis (African oil palm)
Lineage: Eukaryota; Viridiplantae; Streptophyta; Magnoliopsida; Arecales; Arecaceae
Description: long non-coding RNA (EGUI_LNC028570)
Source: RNAcentral
GGAGAGAAGUGGUUAAGAUUUGAAACCGCCCGAGAGUCUUCGAAUUCUUGAAUCAGAGUUCGAUCCACCAUGGAGAAAGGAUGUUGGUCGAUACUCAAAAUGUCAAUUUUUACCAGAUAAGAGAAUUCACCACAAGUAAGAUCCAGAGAUACUGGGAUAGAUUGAGCAUCCACACAAUAGAUAAAAAGAAACACCACUUCACCGUCCAAGCCUAGAAUAGAGGAAGGAAGAACCUUUUGAAGAAGACCAAAACCAGCAAUCAUUCUUAGUAAGGAGACUCACAUUUCUACACACAAUUGGAACAUUGGAGCACCGAAUGAGAGCACGGUAGGAGAGAUUAACAUGAUGCCCACCAUCCUUAAUGGACCAGGGUCGGAUGGAGAAGGAGAAGUGGGGAGUUCUGAGAGGGCCUUUCCUCUGAGCCAGAAGGAUUUCACCUUUAUUUGGAAAAGGAACCAAGAAGCAAUUGAGUCCAAACGGAGGAGGUUGAGUUACUGACAGUUGAGACUUGAACCAGGGCCAUAGUCAAAGCCUCAGAGACCCAUUCCGAACCUCAGCAUCAAUGGGGAGGAAGGAAUGAUGCUUAAGAGGCCUUUCAGCCUCAGGAGAUGCAGGGUGCUUAAAAGCAAGGGGAAAGAGUGGGAACAUACCUUAUAGAGGAGUGCCCAUAGCAACCGCAAGAGAAACAUACCAGCCCAGUUCUGCAAUCUUUUUUGAAAUGUCCCGGAUCACCAUAGCGAAAGCAAGUGCCUUGAUGCGGGGAGCAUUUUAGGAAGGGGAGAAAUUCAGGCCUGAGAUGGAGAAAGAAGAGCGUCUUUGAAGCUUUUGAGAGGAGGCAUCCCAGAUCUGUUAGCUCCAAAAGAGGGCAGAGCACUACUGAACGGUGAGGGCCCCAAUAUUCC